Molecule: ribosomal RNA, 253 nt
Filed under: uncultured bacterium
Lineage: Bacteria
Description: partial small subunit ribosomal RNA
Rfam family: Bacterial small subunit ribosomal RNA
Source: RNAcentral
AGGACGAACGCUGGCGGCGUGCUUAACACAUGCAAGUCGAGCGGAAAGGCCCUUCGGGGUACUCGAGCGGCGAACGGGUGAGUAACACGUGAGUAAUCUGCCCUUAGCUCUGGGAUAGCUCCGGGAAACCGGGAUUAAUACCAGAUACGACCACUUUAGACAUCUGCCGUGGUGGAAAGAAUUUCGGCUAAGGAUGAGCUCGCGGCCUAUCAGCUUGUGGUGGGGUAACGGCCUACCAAGGCGACGACGGGUA